GAUGAACGCUCGCGGCAGGCCUAAUACAUGCAAGUCGAACGAGAUUAAGAGGCUUGCUUCUUAUGAAAGUGGCGCACGGGUGCGUAACGCGUAUGCAACCUACCUUAAUCAGGGGGAUAGCCCGAAGAAAUUCGGAUUAAGACCGCAUAAAAACACAGGAUAGCCUUAUCCAAUGUUCAAAUAUUUAUAGGAUUAAGAUGGGCAUGCGUGUCAUUAGCUAGUUGGCGGGGUAACGGCCCACCAAGGCGACGAUGACUAGGGGAUCUGAGAGGAUGACCCCCCACACUGGUACUGAGACACGGACCAGACUCCUACGGGAGGCAGCAGUAAGGAAUAUUGGUCAAUGGAGGGAACUCUGAACCAGCCAUGCCGCGUGCAGGAAGACAGCCCGCUGGGUCGUAAACUGCUUUUAUUCGGGAAUAAACCUUUCUACGUGUAGGAAGCUGAAUGUACCGAAGGAAUAAGGAUCGGCUAACUCCGUG
Molecule: ribosomal RNA, 482 nt
Filed under: uncultured bacterium
Lineage: Bacteria
Description: partial 16S ribosomal RNA
Rfam family: Bacterial small subunit ribosomal RNA
Source: RNAcentral